Molecule: RNA transcript, 707 nt
Organism: Physeter macrocephalus (sperm whale)
Lineage: Eukaryota; Metazoa; Chordata; Mammalia; Artiodactyla; Physeteridae
Gene: C4H1orf162
Gene name: chromosome 4 C1orf162 homolog
Exons: 4
Source: RefSeq, a predicted model, not a curated record
UCUUUUUAACUUUAUUUGAUGGGGGAAGGGUUGUAUUUGAAUGGCUGAAUUUAGUUGGUAGAUUUUAUGGCAGUCAGUAAGGUUCACCAAUGCCGGACAAAAUGUGAAAAAGUAUACAUAUAUAGUGCUGUUUCUAUUUUAAUUUAUACUUCUAUCAAAUGUUUGGAGUGUCGUUUUCAAAGGGAAUGUGUUUCCUGCUUUUUUUGGCCUGGAUCUUUCAUACAUCAGUCUCCUGUGAGUUGGUUGAUGUGAGUCAGUUCUGGAGCAAUCAGUCAAUUCUUGGUGCCCUGAUAUGAUCAAAUUUAUGAACCUACAAAGCUGAGGGCUGCCUGCUGAGCUACAGUACUCACACUGUAAGGUAUGUGACCACUGAUCUCACUAGAACACCCACCCACCCACCACUUGCCUCUCUCCCACAUUACGGCUCUAAUUUUAAGAUCACAGUCUCAGAAUUGGCCACUCUGCUGCGUCUCCUUUCCAAGCUUUCUAAGAGGUACCUUUUUUAAUUUUCAGGAGAAAGCAACAUGGGAAGUAAUAUUUCCAAACUUGAAACAAACAAUACAAAGAAUAUUUGGUCUUAACCUUUCUUGGUGGGGUUCUACUGACACUGCUGCUGAUGGCCCUUGUCUUCCUCAUCAUAAAGAGCUACAGAAAAUGUCACUCCAGUCCCCGGGCCCUGGAUCCUCACUCAGUUCCUCCAGCCAAGG